This is a long non-coding RNA of Haemorhous mexicanus (house finch), 650 nucleotides long. RefSeq lists it as uncharacterized. The record is from RefSeq and is a predicted model, not a curated record. The transcript is spliced from 4 exons. NCBI's taxonomy places the organism in Eukaryota, Metazoa, Chordata, Aves, Passeriformes, Fringillidae.
GGACAUAAAGCCGAACCUGAGGAGUCAAGGCGGUCCACGGGUAUCACGCCGAGACCCCAUCAGCGAGUGGCCGACAGACCCGGUUCGUCGCUCUCGUGGGAACUCGCUAAGCGGUACGGGGCUCUGUGAUGGUGCCGUGACCUUUGCCAUUUGAAGGUGACGCCUGGAGAGCCUUCAGGAAGGGCCGAGGAGUUGCUGCAGAGCCCGCGAUGACGGCGGCGGCCUCCGAGCGUGGCCGUAGCGUGCGGCCCGAGGAGCCGGGCGUUCUUAGCAGAAGGCUGACCAAGAGACCAGAGCCCGGUGACUGCGGAAAAUUCCCAGCGGGUGAGGCGGCCUUCCUUGGCAGCGGAGGCGGAUUGUCAUCCCCGGACGUCCAAGAGAUAAGUGGAGGGUUACGAGCCCCCUGAGAGGGGGACGAAAGCGAGGUGCUGGGAGGGUUUUUUGAGUGGCAGCUUUGGAGGCGGGGUUGUGCAGGAGGUGGCCCUUUAGGCCACGUAAAGGAAGAGUUACCCGGUGCUGAGGUGCUCAGGGCAGAGCAGUCCCGGUGCGUGUCACUUGUGUCACUUGUCUAUGGUGCCUUCUGUGUGUAUCGUGCCUUCUGUGUCUUUUGCCUCGUGCCCCACAAAGGAUUAUCCGAAGCCCAGGUGUCC